This 534-nucleotide ribosomal RNA is filed under the name uncultured bacterium. Its description in RNAcentral is "bacterial SSU rRNA". It matches the Rfam family "Bacterial small subunit ribosomal RNA", at positions 977 to 1509 of the family's 1533-position model. The record is from RNAcentral.
GGCCUUGACAUACUAAGAACUUUCCAGAGAUGGAUUUGGUGCCUUCGGGAACUUAGAUACAGGUGCUGCAUGGCUGUCGUCAGCUCGUGUCGUGAGAUGUUGGGUUAAGUCCCGNAACGAGCGCAACCCUUUUCCUUAUUUGCCAGCGGGUCAUGCCGGGAACUUUAAGGAUACUGCCAGUGACAAACUGGAGGAAGGCGGGGACGACGUCAAGUCAUCAUGGCCCUUACGGCCAGGGCUACACACGUGCUACAAUGGUCGGUACAAAGGGUUGCUACCUCGCGAGAGGAUGCUAAUCUCAAAAAGCCGAUCGUAGUCCGGAUCGCAGUCUGCAACUCGACUGCGUGAAGUCGGAAUCGCUAGUAAUCGCGGAUCAGAAUGCCGCGGUGAAUACGUUCCCGGGCCUUGUACACACCGCCCGUCACACCAUGGGAGUUUGUUGCACCAGAAGUAGGUAGUCUAACCGCAAGGAGGACGCUUACCACGGUGUGGCCGAUGACUGGGGUGAAGUCGUAACAAGGUAGGCGUAGAUGA